AGAGUUUGAUCAUGGCUCAGGACAAACGCUGGCGGCGUGCCUAAUACAUGCAGGUCGAACGGUCUCCCUUCGGGGAGAUAGUGGCGGACGGGUGAGUAACACGUAGAUAACCUGCCCUGGAGUGGGGAAUAACAUCUCGAAAGAGAUGCUAAUACCGCAUACGUUCUUUGCUGAUAGACAAAGAAGAAAGCUAUAGCAAGCGCAAGCAAGCUAAGUGCUCGAGGAGGGGUCUGCGGCGGAUUAGCUAGAUGGUGGGGUAAAAGCCUACCAUGGCGACGAUCCGUAGCUGGUCUGAGAGGACGAUCAGCCACACUGGGACUGAGACACGGCCCAGACUCCUACGGGAGGCAGCAGUAAGGAAUAUUCCACAAUGGGCGAAAGCCUGAUGGAGCGACGCCGCGUGAGGGAAGACGCCCUUUGGGGUGUAAACCUCUUUUGUGGGGGAUGAUAAUGACAGUACCCCACGAAUAAGCCUCGGCUAACUACGUGCCAGCCGCCGCGGUAAUAC
RNAcentral lists this ribosomal RNA (508 nucleotides) under uncultured bacterium. RNAcentral describes it as "bacterial SSU rRNA". It matches the Rfam family "Bacterial small subunit ribosomal RNA", at positions 8 to 526 of the family's 1533-position model. The record is from RNAcentral.